UCCAGGCGGAACCGGCGGGAGCCCAGAAGAACCUCGGGAGAGGCGAGGGCCCCCGCGGGAGACGGCGGAGAGCGCGCCCGGGGCGGGGCCGGGUUCGGGCUUAGGAACAAAGAGGCGGAAGAGACGAGGCCACCCACCUGAGGUGACAGAGUGAACCAGCUGUAUUCUCUUUGGAUUGAGGUCUUUAUGAUUCUUGGACAAAAGGCAGAGAUCAGUCCAUAUUGCAUGCCCCAGGAAGAAAUUGUCAGACAUUCAGCUGUUCAACAUAUUCUGACAACAGAUGCAUAGUGCUGAUUAUGGAGGAAUCCCAUGCCCUCCACCACCACCACCCCACAAUUAAAUGCCCUUUUAAAUAUCCUCCUGCCUUUUGCUGCAGGAAUCAUUUAUCUUGACCCAGCACUUGUUUAGU
Molecule: long non-coding RNA, 409 nt
Filed under: Pogona vitticeps (central bearded dragon)
Lineage: Eukaryota; Metazoa; Chordata; Lepidosauria; Squamata; Agamidae
Description: lncRNA (ENSPVIG00000022616.1)
Source: RNAcentral